UCCGAUUGAUCCCGUCGGACCCCACUGCAAUCGAGAUGGGACUAAAGUAUGCUAGUUGAAUGACCAGAAUUAUGUCUGGAAGUGGCACACUGCUCAGUAACACGUAGCUAACCUACCCUUAGGACGUGGAUACCCCCGAGAAAUUGGGGUUAAUCCGCGAUAGAUGUAAUGUCCUGGAAUGGUAUUACGUCUAAAGGUAUUUCAUAUAUGUUUGAAAUAUGCCUAAGGAUGGGGCUGCGGCCGAUCAGGUUGUUGGUGAGGUAAUGGCUCACCAAACCUUUGACCGGUACGGGCCAUGAGAGUGGUAGUCCGGAGAUGGACACUGAGACAAGGGUCCAGGCCCUAAGGGGCGCAGCAACCGUGAAACCUCCACAAUGCACUUAUGUGCGAUGGGGCUAUCUCGAGUGCCACCUGAUGAAGGUGGCUUUGCCUUGGUUUUUAAAGCCUUGGGAAUAAGAGGGGGGCAAGACUGGUGUUAGUUGUUGUGGUAACACCAGCCCCUCGAGUGGUGGGGAUGAUUAUUUGGCCUAAAGCGUCCGUAGCCGGCCAUGUAAGUCUCCCGUUAAAUCCAGCGUUUUAAGUGUUGGACUGCGGGAGAUACUGCAGGGCUAGAGAGUGGGAGAGGUCAGCGGUAUUCUGGGGGUAGGGGUGAAAUUCUUUGAUCCCCGGAGGACCAUUAGUGGUGAAGGCUGCUGACUAGAACACGUCUGACGGUCAGGGACGAAAGCUGGGGUAGCGAACCGGAUUAGAUAUCCGGGUAGUCCCAGCCGUAAACGAUGCAUGCUAGGUGUUGGGUUGGCCACGUGCCACCCCAGUGCCGCAGGGAAGCUGUUAAGCAUGCCGCCUGGGAAGUACGAUCGUAAGAUUGAAAUUUAAAGGAAUUGGCGGGGGAGCACCAUCAGGUGUGAAGCCUGUGGUUUAAUUGGAGUCAAUGUUGGGAAUUUUAUUGGGAGUGAUAGUAGAGUGAAGGUUAGAUUGAAGAUUUUGUUAGAUGAGUUGAGAGGAGGUGUAUGGCCGUUGCCAGUUCGUGCCGUGAGGUGUUUUCUUAAGUGAGAUAACGAACGAGACCCGUGCCACAUGUUGUUAUUAGUAUUUAAAGGAUAGUUGAGUAUUUUUGUGGGAUUGCAGCCGAUAAGGCUGAGGAAGGUAUGGGCAACGGCAGGUUAGUAUGUUUUGAAUUUUUUGGGUUAUAUGUGGGUUGUAAUGGCAUAGAUAGAGGGUUGUUAUUUUGAGAGGGGGAGUUAAUUUUUAAAUUGUAUUUUAGUUGGGAUCGAGGGUUGUAAUUUACCCUCGUGAACAUGGAAUGCCUAGUAACCGCCAGUUAUUAUCUGGCGGUGAAUACGUCCCUGCUCCUUGCACAUAUUGUUUGUCGAACCAUCCGAAUGAGGUUUGGGUGAGGAAUGGUCGAAUGUUGGCCGUUUCGAACCUGGGCCUCGUAAGGAGGGUUAAGUUGUAAUAAGGUG
Molecule: ribosomal RNA, 1463 nt
Filed under: metagenome
Description: bacterial SSU rRNA
Rfam family: Archaeal small subunit ribosomal RNA
Source: RNAcentral